This 466-nucleotide ribosomal RNA is filed under the name uncultured bacterium. RNAcentral describes it as "partial 16S ribosomal RNA". It matches the Rfam family "Bacterial small subunit ribosomal RNA", at positions 28 to 507 of the family's 1533-position model. The record is from RNAcentral.
GACGAACGCUGGCGGCGUGCUUAACACAUGCAAGUCGUGCGGUAAGGCCCUUUCGGGGGGGCACGAGCGGCGAACGGGUGAGUAACACGUGAGCAACCUGCCCUUCCCUUUGGUAUAACUGCCUGCAACGGUGGCUAAUACCUGACAUGAAUUCCCUCCGCAUGUGUGGUGGUGGAAGGCCAUCGGGUGGUGGGGGAUGGGCUCGCGGUCUAUCAGCUUGUUGGUGGGGUGUUGGCCUACCAAGGCUUCGACGGGUAGCCGGCCUGAGAGGGUGACCGGCCACACUGGGACUGAGAGACGGCCCAGACUCCUACGGGAGGCAGCAGUGGGGAAUAUUGCACAAUGGGCGAAAGCCUGAUCCAGCAACGCCGCGUGAGGGAUGACGGCCUUCGGGUUGUAAACCUCUUUCGCCUGCGACGAAGCGAGAGUGACGGUAGCAGGUAAAGAAGCACCGGCCAACUACGUG